RNAcentral lists this small nuclear RNA (94 nucleotides) under Heterocephalus glaber (naked mole-rat). Lineage: Eukaryota; Metazoa; Chordata; Mammalia; Rodentia; Bathyergidae. The record is from RNAcentral.
GUGCUCGCUUCAGCAACACAUAUACUAAAAUAGUAACACAGAGAUUUAGCAUGGCCCAUGCACUUCACAAGCUUGUGAAGUGUUGUAUAUUUUU